This is a non-coding RNA of Pelobates cultripes (western spadefoot toad), 213 nucleotides long. NCBI's taxonomy places the organism in Eukaryota, Metazoa, Chordata, Amphibia, Anura, Pelobatidae. The record is from the annotation of a GenBank genome assembly.
AAGUAAUCCAAUUAUCUCCAAGGACAGAGGCAAAACUCCAUUAAGCACAUUGCAGUAAAAGGACAGUAAAAUACAAUAAAAUACACAAGGUUUUAUUACAUAUAAUACAGACAUGCAACAUAUCCCCAGAUUAUUACUGAAUGGCGCUCAGACCACACACAUACAGUUCAAUCGACAUGGAGCCAAAGUCUUUUAUUACAUGAAUAGGCUCCA